This 222-nucleotide ribosomal RNA is filed under the name uncultured bacterium. RNAcentral describes it as "partial 16S ribosomal RNA". It matches the Rfam family "Bacterial small subunit ribosomal RNA", at positions 524 to 737 of the family's 1533-position model. The record is from RNAcentral.
GACGGGGGGGGGCAAGUGUUCUUCGGAAUGACUGGGCGUAAAGGGCACGUAGGCGGUGAAUCGGGGUUGAAAAGUGAAAAGUCGCCAAAAAAAGUGGCGGAAUGCUCUCGAAAACCAAUUCACUUGAGUGAGACAGAGGAGAGUGGAAUUUCGUGUGUAGGGGGUGAAAUCCGUAAAUAUACGAAGGAAACGCCAAAAAGCGAAGGCAGCUCUCUGGGGUCC